RNAcentral lists this ribosomal RNA (253 nucleotides) under uncultured bacterium. RNAcentral describes it as "partial 16S ribosomal RNA". It matches the Rfam family "Bacterial small subunit ribosomal RNA", at positions 524 to 776 of the family's 1533-position model. The record is from RNAcentral.
UACGGAGGAUGCAAGCGUUAUCCGGAUUCAUUGGGUUUAAAGGGUGCGUAGGCGGGAUAAUAAGUCAGUGGUGAAAUCCUACAGCUUAACUGUAGAACUGCCAUUGAUACUGUUAACCUUGAGUACAUUUGAAGUGGGCGGAAUGUGUCAUGUAGCGGUGAAAUGCUUAGAUAUGACACAGAACACCGAUAGCGAAGGCAGCUCACUAAACUGUAACUGACGCUGAGGCACGAAAGCGUGGGGAUCAAACAGG